GUGGGUAUAGGUUAGUGGUAGAGCUCAUGCUUAGCAGGCAUGAAGUGCUAGGUUCAAUCCCCAGUACCUCCA
RNAcentral lists this transfer RNA (72 nucleotides) under Camelus bactrianus (Bactrian camel). It matches the Rfam family "tRNA". Rfam says of the family: Transfer RNA (tRNA) molecules are approximately 80 nucleotides in length. Their secondary structure includes four short double-helical elements and three loops (D, anti-codon, and T loops). The record is from Rfam by way of RNAcentral. RNAcentral also lists the same sequence under 2 other names. Lineage: Eukaryota; Metazoa; Chordata; Mammalia; Artiodactyla; Camelidae.